UGUCCUGUUACACCUGGGAUAUAUGUGCUUUUAACCCAAAACAAAAGUAUGCAUCUGUUCAGCCCUCCAGAAGACUUUGAGAACCAUCUUUUCCUGAACUCUAGCUGGAUUGUUUGAGGAACUGGAAAACUGAG
This 134-nucleotide long non-coding RNA is filed under the name Nannospalax galili (Upper Galilee mountains blind mole rat). RNAcentral describes it as "Pvt1 onco conserved region 5 (ENSNGAG00000009759.1)". It matches the Rfam family "Pvt1 oncogene conserved region 5". The record is from RNAcentral. Lineage: Eukaryota; Metazoa; Chordata; Mammalia; Rodentia; Spalacidae.